CUGCAUUUAUUUUACUUUCUUCAUUCUCAUCUUUCCCCAUGGGGGCCGAGUGUGCAGUGGCUGCAAACAACAGCCUCCUUGGUAGUGUAUGCAGCCUGUUGCCUGAAUGGGUUGUCCUAAGGGACCUUGGAGACAGCU
This is a small nucleolar RNA of Physeter macrocephalus (sperm whale), 138 nucleotides long. Its record names the gene SNORA70. It matches the Rfam family "Small nucleolar RNA SNORA70". From Rfam's summary of the family: snoRNA U70 seems to be exclusive to mammals and is a member of the H/ACA class of snoRNA which contain H (ANANNA) and ACA box motifs. H/ACA box snoRNAs are involved in the conversion of uridines to pseudouridines (5-ribosyluracil) a constituent of structural RNAs (transfer, ribosomal, small nuclear, and small nucleolar). The record is from Ensembl. NCBI's taxonomy places the organism in Eukaryota, Metazoa, Chordata, Mammalia, Artiodactyla, Physeteridae.